GCCCUGGUGGUUCAGUGGUAGAAUUCUCGCCUUCCAUGCAGAAGACCUGGAUUCGAUUCCCAGCCAAUGCA
Molecule: transfer RNA, 71 nt
Filed under: Loxodonta africana (African savanna elephant)
Lineage: Eukaryota; Metazoa; Chordata; Mammalia; Proboscidea; Elephantidae
Rfam family: tRNA
About the family: Transfer RNA (tRNA) molecules are approximately 80 nucleotides in length. Their secondary structure includes four short double-helical elements and three loops (D, anti-codon, and T loops).
Source: Rfam by way of RNAcentral